GAUGAACGCUGGCGGCGUGCUUAACACAUGCAAGUCGAACGAUGAAGGAGAGCUUGCUCUCUGGAUUAGUGGCGAACGGGUGAGUAACACGUGAGCAACCUGCCCCUGACUCUGGGAUAAGCGCUGGAAACGGCGUCUAAUACUGGAUAUGAGCUCCUGCCGCAUGGUGGGGGUUGGAAAGAUUUUUUGGUUGGGGAUGGGCUCGCGGCCUAUCAGCUUGUUGGUGAGGUAAUGGCUCACCAAGGCGUCGACGGGUAGCCGGCCUGAGAGGGUGACCGGCCACACUGGGACUGAGACACGGCCCAGACUCCUACGGGAGGCAGCAGUGGGGAAUAUUGCACAAUGGGCGGAAGCCUGAUGCAGCAACGCCGCGUGAGGGAUGACGGCCUUCGGGUUGUAAACCUCUUUUAGCAGGGAAGAAGCGAGAGUGACGGUACCUGCAGAAAAAGCACCGGCUAACUACGUGCCAGCAGCCGCCGUAACAC
Molecule: ribosomal RNA, 485 nt
Filed under: uncultured bacterium
Lineage: Bacteria
Description: bacterial SSU rRNA
Rfam family: Bacterial small subunit ribosomal RNA
Source: RNAcentral